GAUGAACGCUGGCGGCGUGCCUAAUACAUGCAAGUCGAGCGAACGGACGAGAAGCUUGCUCCUCUGAUGUUAGCGGCGGACGGGUGAGUAACACGUGGAUAACCUACCUAUAAGACUGGGAUAACUUCGGGAAACCGGGGCUAAUACCGGAUAAUAUUUUGAACUGCAUGGUUCAAAAGUGAAAGACGGCCUUUCGGUUACUUAUAGCUGGAUCCGCGCUGCAUUAGCUAGUUGGUAAGGUAACGGCUUAGCAAGGCAACGAUGCAUAGCCGAACUGAAGGGGUGAUCGGCCACCUUGGAACUGGGCCACGGUCCAGACUCCUACGGGACGCAGCAGUAGGGAAUCUUCCGCAAUGGGGGAAAGCCUGACGGAGCAACGCCGCGUGAGUGAUGACGGUCCUCGGAUCGUAAAGCUCUGUUAUUAGGGAAGAACAUAUGUGUAAGUAACUGUGCACAUAUUGACGGUACCUAAUCAGAAAGCCACGGCUAACUACGUG
Molecule: ribosomal RNA, 497 nt
Filed under: uncultured bacterium
Lineage: Bacteria
Description: partial 16S ribosomal RNA
Rfam family: Bacterial small subunit ribosomal RNA
Source: RNAcentral